This 81-nucleotide transfer RNA is filed under the name Diphyscium foliosum. RNAcentral describes it as "tRNA-Leu". It matches the Rfam family "tRNA". Rfam says of the family: Transfer RNA (tRNA) molecules are approximately 80 nucleotides in length. Their secondary structure includes four short double-helical elements and three loops (D, anti-codon, and T loops). Further hydrogen bonds mediate the characteristic L-shaped molecular structure. tRNAs have two regions of fundamental functional importance: the anti-codon, which is responsible for specific mRNA codon recognition, and the 3' end, to which the tRNAs corresponding amino acid is attached (by aminoacyl-tRNA synthetases). tRNAs cope with the degeneracy of the genetic code in two manners: having more than one tRNA (with a specific anti-codon) for a particular amino acid; and 'wobble' base-pairing, i.e. permitting non-standard base-pairing at the 3rd anti-codon position. Lineage: Eukaryota; Viridiplantae; Streptophyta; Bryopsida; Diphysciales; Diphysciaceae. The record is from RNAcentral.
GCCUUGAUGGUGAAAUGGUAGACACGUAAGAUUCAAAAUCUUGUGCUCUAAAGCGUGGAGGUUCGAGUCCUCUUCAAGGCA